Molecule: long non-coding RNA, 2909 nt
Organism: Mugil cephalus (flathead mullet)
Lineage: Eukaryota; Metazoa; Chordata; Actinopteri; Mugiliformes; Mugilidae
Exons: 3
Source: RefSeq, a predicted model, not a curated record
UGAUGACCCCGGUCACAUGUAUCUUCCGAUGACAUCAGAGGAUCGGUUCCAUUUCAUCUUCUCUUCGCAGGCAACUGCACGCCACUGCGCUAGCUAAAGCUAAGUGGCUAUUCCUUCGUUACCGGUAGCCUUGCGACGUGAGGUUUGUGGUUUGCCGCGGACACAUCUGCAUCGACUUAUCAUCGUCAGUUAGAUAAGUUUAUUUUGUUUUCCUAUUACACAUUCUUAAGUUUGUUUUGUUGGUGAAGGUAGUGUCCUUGCUCGCUCUCCCGGCAUAAUAUUGUGUGAAUCAGCUGUUGGCAUUGCGUGCACUUGCCAUAAGUGUUGGCUAUCGGUGCAACCUUCUUUGCAUCCGUUUUGUCUUGUUGUUCAUUUGUUGGUGAAGGCAGCGGCCUCGCUCCCUCUCCCAGCGUUUGUAACGCUAUUGUUUUGUCAGUCAGCUGUUGGCAUUGCGUGUGCUUGCUUUUGACUAUCGGUGCAACCUUUUGCACUCGUUUUGUGUUGAAUUUCCAUUUGUUGGUGACGAUAGUGAUCCCGCUCCCUCUCCCGGCAUUUGUAUUGCACUUGCUAUUUUCAGGUCAUUCAUGUGCAUUAGCGGUUAGCCUUUUUGGCCAUUUGCCUUUCUAUUGAACGGUGCACCGUGGGGCUAUUUGUUUUUCGCAGUACUUGGUUGGUGAUGGCGGUGUGUGCGCUCCAGUCAUGGCAAGUACUUCAGUAUAAUUUUCAGGUAAUUUGUACUUUUAGAAGUAUUUCUUUUUCUGACAACCAACUCGGUAAAAUUUUAACGCAAAUAUCAGUACUUUUUACUCUUUACAUUUCCCUAAAAGGCUCGUUACUUUUUUAUAUAUACACAAUAGUUUUUUUUUUCUUUUUUUAGCGCUGGGACGUAUGCCCGUCACGGCUAGACACGGUAAACCUAUGGCUGCGACGUGCAGCCUGUAGCCUGUGAUCGCGAAAGGCUCCGCUAAAACUUGAAAGAGUCGCGUCAGAGACACACAGGGCUGUCUGCCCGCCAGUAAAUCAGACCUAGGCUCUCGCAUACCACCAACUUCAGCCAGCAACGGCUCAAAAUGAACAAUGGAGAGGAACUUGAGUUGAACGUCGCUUCGAAGAGAUGCUAGCUGAGCCAGCUCAUUGCUGCUGCCAUUCUUGUCCCGAAUUACAGAACACGCUGGACCACUGAUGAAGGCAUCCUUAAAUGUGGCCUCAACUACAUCAACGCCCACCUGAAGGAGCAGAGUAGUGCAGGGCAGUCAGGUAACUCUGUGUCGGUGUCAUCGUCUGAGGAGGACUUCUUUUCGACAGUCAAGCAGACGGAUAAACGGGACGUUUCUGCAUCAUCAGAGAGAAGAACCUACUGAGGCCCUUUGACAGACACUCAUUGUGAUAAAGCUGUGUAUGUCAAGAUGAAGGUUUUUGAGGAAGGACCCAAAUGCAGGACAAGGGAGAUGAGGCCAGUGUUCAAACAAAAAAAAGAAACACAGCAGGAUAAUCAAAAAAACUGAAAGCAUGAAGCAAAAGUAUGGCAGGGAAACAAAAACAUGGAGACAUGAACACAGAUACAAAGACAGUUGACUGUUUCCAGACACCACAGGACACCCUCAGAAGACCCAUGUCCAUGUGUUUUGGAGUCGCAAGGGAGACCUACACAAUAUUAGGAAGGUGGUAAUAAUGUUAUGCCUGAGAAGUGUAUACUAUAACUGUUGAACUGCUUUACAACUGCUAAUGCUGUUACAUAUUUCCAGACAUACUUUUGUCUACUUUCAAUAUUACGUCUAUUUCUUGCAUUUAUAACAUCAGAUCAGAUACUCACUCUGCAAAUGUACAUUCACAAUAAUUUUCUUUUUCACCAUAACUAUAUGAUCCUCAAUAUGACAACCAAAAAAAGUACAUUUAUAAACAAUUGUUGCUAAUGAAGCACGUAGAGGUCUCAUGCUGCGCAUACAUACUGUAAAUACACAACUGUUUCAGAACUGUUAAAAUAGAUCUUAAAAGUAAUGAAAGUUGAUGAAAUAUAUAUCAGCUUAGAUCAAAAUGGUGGACUGUUAAACACAACCUCAAGACAUUUCCUGCCACUUAGUGAUGCUACUGACUCCACUUUCAAAAUAAAUGUGUUGACUGACUUCGUAAAACCAGUUAUGUCCUCUCAAAGGAUGGCAGCAGUGAGGCCAUAUAACAGAGCAAACCUGAUUUAACUGAAGUUUAAGUAACUGCAAGAUUUUUUUUUUUAAAUCUUGCAUUUCUUUAUAAACCACAACUGAAGAACAUUUAGACAUUCACAGGAACUCUUCAGCUGGUUGACAGCUUCAGACCACAAACUUCUUGGUUGCAAUUUACCGGCACCCACUGCUCGACUAUGCACCAUUUGUACUUAACCUUAUUUAGCUUGAGUUAAAAAAAAAAAAAAAAAAAAAGGUGACAGUAACCUGAGAAUAACUAAUACACACAACCUUCACAUACAUAAAGCACACAUUAGAUAAAUAAGAAGACAAAAGACACAUUCAGAAUUCACUUUAAUCUGAAUGCAAAUAAUAAGUGAAGCAACUGGGGAGAUAGAGGACGUUUGUGGCUUGUGGUGUAGCAGCAUGGAGGAUAGAAGACCCUCAGUGUCUGUGCAAACAGACAGCUUAGCUGCUCAUCAUGUAUUUUUGGUUGAUGUAUAAACACAUGUGGGUGGAGAAUUCACACGUCAAGGGAUCCAACCGUAUAAAAUAGUCGACGUUGUACAGAUGCAUCAUCUUCUGCAGGAGUCCGUGAUACAGGUAAAUAUAUGAGCCUUCAGACACAAUUGUUAUGCUUGCCGUAAACAGCACCUCAAUAACUAAUAUGGUUUUAUGUUUCUGUUUUGUUUUUGUUUUUUUGCAGCAACAGCUAAUAACAUAAAAAGAAGUCAUCACUUGCCUCCAGUC